RNAcentral lists this ribosomal RNA (308 nucleotides) under Escherichia coli. RNAcentral describes it as "bacterial SSU rRNA". It matches the Rfam family "Bacterial small subunit ribosomal RNA", at positions 139 to 449 of the family's 1533-position model. Lineage: Bacteria; Pseudomonadati; Pseudomonadota; Gammaproteobacteria; Enterobacterales; Enterobacteriaceae. RNAcentral also lists the same sequence under 1 other name. The record is from RNAcentral.
GGGGAUAACUACUGGAAACGGUAGCUAAUACCGCAUAACGUCGCAAGACCAAAGAGGGGGACCUUCGGGCCUCUUGCCAUCGGAUGUGCCCAGAUGGGAUUAGCUAGUAGGUGGGGUAACGGCUCACCUAGGCGACGAUCCCUAGCUGGUCUGAGAGGAUGACCAGCCACACUGGAACUGAGACACGGUCCAGACUCCUACGGGAGGCAGCAGUGGGGAAUAUUGCACAAUGGGCGCAAGCCUGAUGCAGCCAUGCCGCGUGUAUGAAGAAGGCCUUCGGGUUGUAAAGUACUUUCAGCGGGGAGGAA